RNAcentral lists this ribosomal RNA (486 nucleotides) under uncultured bacterium. RNAcentral describes it as "partial 16S ribosomal RNA". It matches the Rfam family "Bacterial small subunit ribosomal RNA", at positions 28 to 507 of the family's 1533-position model. The record is from RNAcentral.
GAUGAACGCUGGCGGCGUGCCUAAUACAUGCAAGUCGAACGCUGGAGAUCUAGCUUGCUAGAUCGAAGGAGUGGCGAACGGGUGAGUAAUACAUAAGCAACCUACCCACGAAGACUGGGAUAAUCUCUGGAAACGGGGACUAAUACCGGAUAGGUAAUCGGAAGGCAUCUUCUGGUUAUUAAAGGUUAAAAACACUGGUGGAUGGGCUUAUGGCGCAUUAGUUAGUUGGUGAGGUAACGGCCCACCAAGACGAUGAUGCGUAGCCGGCCUGAGAGGGUGAACGGCCACAUUGGGACUGAGACACGGCCCAGACUCCUACGGGAGGCAGCAGUAGGGAAUUUUCGGCAAUGGGGGCAACCCUGACCGAGCAACGCCGCGUGAGUGAGGACGGCCUUCGGGGUGUAAAGCUCUGUUGUAAGGGAAGAACGGUAGAUAGAGAAUAUCUAAGUGACGGUACCUUACCAGAAAGCCACGGCUAACUACGUG